UACGAAGGGGGCUAGCGUUGCUCGGAAUUACUGGGCGUAAAGCGUGCGCAGGCGGCUGUGCAAGACAGGUGUGAAAUCCCCGGGCUUAACCUGGAACUGCACUUGUGACUGCAUGGCUGGAGUACGGCAGAGGGGGAUGGAAUUCCGCGUGUAGCAGUGAAAUGCGUAGAUAUGCGGAGGAACACCGAUGGCGAAGGCAAUCCCCUGGGCCUGUACUGACGCUCAUGCACGAAAGCGUGGGGAGCAAACAGG
This 252-nucleotide ribosomal RNA is filed under the name uncultured bacterium. RNAcentral describes it as "partial 16S ribosomal RNA". It matches the Rfam family "Bacterial small subunit ribosomal RNA", at positions 524 to 776 of the family's 1533-position model. The record is from RNAcentral.